GUGUGGGGAAGGGUGAAGCCAGAAGUCACGAACGUCGAUCCUUCUCAACCAAGAAGGAACCUCUACAUCUUGGUCAACGACCACCGUUGCCCCGUCUCCAUCGACAUCGCUACUGCUCAGCCAGCAACCGCCACCACCGCCGCUGCCCUCUUUCUGCAGUUAUCUUCAUCUUCAAAAAAAAAAAAAGGAAAAAAGAGAGAAGAAGAAGAAGAAGCUGCAGCCACCCCUACUUCCGGCCAGCCCACCCACCACCGUUGCUCUCCG
This 264-nucleotide long non-coding RNA is filed under the name Musa acuminata (dwarf banana). RNAcentral describes it as "long non-coding RNA (MACU_LNC011164)". The record is from RNAcentral. Lineage: Eukaryota; Viridiplantae; Streptophyta; Magnoliopsida; Zingiberales; Musaceae.